UACGUAGGGUGCGAGCGUUAAUCGGAAUUACUGGGCGUAAAGCGUGCGCAGGCGGUUAUGCAAGACAGAUGUGAAAUCCCCGGGCUCAACCUGGGAACUGCAUUUGUGACUGCAUGGCUGGAGUGCGGCAGAGGGGGAUGGAAUUCCGCGUGUAGCAGUGAAAUGCGUAGAUAUGCGGAGGAACACCGAUGGCGAAGGCAGCUCGCUGGGACGGUACUGACGCUGAGGCGCGAAAGCGUGGGGAGCAAACAGG
RNAcentral lists this ribosomal RNA (253 nucleotides) under uncultured bacterium. RNAcentral's name for it is "partial 16S ribosomal RNA". It matches the Rfam family "Bacterial small subunit ribosomal RNA", at positions 524 to 776 of the family's 1533-position model. The record is from RNAcentral.